Molecule: long non-coding RNA, 4329 nt
Organism: Oncorhynchus tshawytscha (Chinook salmon)
Lineage: Eukaryota; Metazoa; Chordata; Actinopteri; Salmoniformes; Salmonidae
Source: Ensembl
CCCCCUCCAUAAUGUAAGAGUUGAAUGUUGGUUUGUGUUUAUUCGUUAUCCCCCCCUCCAUAUUGUAAGAGUUGAUUGUUGGUUUGUGUUUAUUUGUUAUGCCCCCCUCCAUAUUGUAAGAGUUGAUUGUUGGUUUGUGUUUAUUUGUUAUGCCCCCCCUCAUAAUGUAAGAGUUGAUUGUUGGUUUGUGUUUAUUUGUUAUGCCCCCCCCUCCCUAUUGUAAGAGUUGAUUGUUGGUUUGUGUUUAUUUGUUAUGCCCCCAUCCAUAAUGUAAGAGUUGAUUGUUGGUUUGUGUUUAUUUGUUAUGCCCCUCCAUAAUGUAAGAGUUGGUUUGUGUUUAUUUGGUAUGCCCCCCCCUCCAUAAUGUAAGAGUUGAUUGUUGGUUUGUGUUUAUUUGUUAGGCCCCCCUCCCUAAUGUAAGAGUUGGUUUGUGUUUAUUUGUUAUGCUUCCCCCUCCAUAUUGUAAGAGUUGAUUGUUGGUUUGUGUUUAUUUGUUAUGCCCCCUCCUCCCUAAUGUAAGAGUUGGUUUGUGUUUAUUUGUUAUGCCCCCCUCCCUAAUGUAAGAGUUGGUUUGUGUUUAUUUGUUAUGCCCCUCCCCUCCCUAAUGUAAGAGUUGGUUUGUGUUCAUUUGUUAUGCACCUCCAUAAAGUAAGAGUUGGUUUGUGUUUAUUUGUUACGCCCCCCCCCAUCCAUAUUGUAAUUUGAGUUGAUUGUUGGUUUGUGUUUAUUUGUUAUGCCCCUCCAUAAUGUAAGAGUUGAUUGUUGGUUUAUGUUUAUUGUUGGUUUAUGUUUAUUUGUUAUGCCCCCUCCAUAAUGUAAGAGUUGAUUGUUGGUUUGUGUUUAUUUGUUAUGCCCCCCCAUCCAUAAUAUAAGAGUUGAUGGUUGGUUUGUGUUUAUUUGUUAUGCCCCCCCCCUCCAUAAUGUAAGAGUUGAUUGUUGGUUUGUGUGUAUUUGUUAUGCCCCCCCUCCAUAAUGUAAGAGUUGAUUGUUGGUUUGUGUUUAUUUGUUAUUCCCCCCCUCCAUAAUGUAGGAGUUGAUUGUUGGUUUGUGUUUAUUUGUUAUGCCCCCCUCCCAUAUUGUAAGAGUUGAUUGUUGGUUUGUGUUUAUUUGUUAUGCCCCCCUCCAUAUUGUAAGAGUUGAUUGUUGGUUUGUGUUUAUUUGUUAUGCCCCCCCAUAAUGUAGGGGUGGAUUUUGUAGCUAUUGGAUUAAGACAUUAAGAACUUUUUCUAUUCACUCACCUAAUCUGAAUUUCAGAGUGACCAAGAAAAAGAGAAACUAAAAUAUUUAAACCUCUCAAAAUGACAUACACCCUGUAAAUAUGAACAAAAUACAAAUAUUUGCUUUUUUAUAUUAAUCAAAAGCAAUGUAUAUAUGAUAGUUUUCAUAUACAUUUUUGAAAAUCAAAAAAUAUAUAGAUCUAUUUAUGAAUGUUUGGCAUAUAUGCAUAGUUAAUCACUGAGGAAAAAAUGUGUGAUCAGAUUGUAUUCUUUCUAUGAACUCUGAACUAGGAGAUGAUUUGCACAAAACACGGUGCUAGCAAUACAGCCACCAUUCGUUACAGCGCAUGCAGGCUGUGAAGGGAGGAACACCCUGACUCUCUGUACACUCCCCCCUCUCCUCUGUGUGGUGCGUGUAUGUAUGUGUGUGUGCGCUAGUUCAAACCCUCGAAGUGAGUCCACUUUAGCCUUAAUACCAUCAGAGAUUCCUGGCAGUGGCUGUGUCUCACACACACAAACACACUCACACGUGGUGCACACACACAUUUGCACAAACAGAGACACAGACUGAACUCCAAAUCUGUAAUCAUUAUAGGACCCUUUGAUAUCUAUUCAUUGAUGAGAGAGAGAGAGAGAGAGAGAGAGAGAGAGAGAGAGAGAGAGAGAGAGAGAGAGAGAGAGAGAGAGAGAGAGAGAGAGAGAGAGAGAGAGAAAGAGAGAGAUCAAAACAAUACUGGGGUGCUGAAAGCGAUACAGUUUAAUCUUCUUUACAUUCUGUCUGUUCCUGUAUAGCCCCUGUCUGUGUGUCAGAGACCCUGUCUGCCUUGGGCAUUGUGUGUGGUUUGGGCUGUGGUUCAAUUGGAGACAUAGACACAGACAAUUACAGUGUUACCAUCUGCCCUACAACACCUCCCUAUGACUCUCCUCAUGACGAGGUGCACUGGCACUCUCUGCUCCGUGUUUCAACCUGUUACACACUCUCUGCUCCACGUUUCAUCCUGUUACACACUCUCUGCUCCGUGUUUCAACCUGUUACACACUCUGCUCCGUGUUUCAUCCUGUUACACACUCUCUGCUCUGUGUUUCAACCUGUUACACACUCUCUGCUCCGCGUUUCAUCCUGUUACACACUCUCUGCUCCAUGUUUCAUCCUGAGACACACUCUCUGCUCUGCGUUUCAUCCUGUUACACACUCUUUGCUCCCUUUUCCCUUUUCAGACUUUGAGUUUUUUAGGGUAUGCUAUGAUGAGGUGAUUUUGAAGAGGACUGACAAAAAAAAAGAAACAAAGAGGGAAAAACGUGCCAAAAAAUAACAAAAAACUUUCAAUGGUGUAUUUUUCUUAAUAGGACUACUUUAGUUUGGAAGUUGUUGAGCUGUUACUCAGUAAUAUGGUGCCAUCUCCUGGGAAUCUUGAGAACUACAGACAUUCAUUUAGCUUCUCCACUGUGUGUGCACAACCUUUUUGGAGUGGAACUCCAGGCGUUUUUUUAUGUUUUGUAAAGGAAUAUAUAUAUAUAUAUAUAUAUAUAUAUAUAUAUAUAUAUAUAUAUAUAUAUAUAUAUAUAUAUAUAUAUAUAUAUAUCCUGAAAAAUGACCAGAUUUUAUGAAUUAACAAAUUAUUAUUUGCAUUAUUACCAUUUCUAUAUAUAUUUUGAGACAAGGUAUCAAAGUAUUGCUUGGUUUAAAUGUGAUGAAGGUUGUAUAGCUUGUCUAACUGAUGCUGAGAGAUGCUGACAUGGGUUUAAACACACAGCUCAUAUAUACACACAUGCUGUACACACGCACAUGCAGGCAUGCACAUGCGCUCACACACACACAGUGCAGUUUGGACUCCAGUUGCUUUCCUGGUUAGAAAACACGUCAGUAACAGAGAACCUAGUUGGACCCCUUAGUAGGUUUACCACAGGUAGCCUAUACAGAUGCAAACCCAUGCUGCGGGACACAGAAAGGUGAGGCAGACACUUCAUUCACACCAAUGAGUUUCUCUGUACGGUCGACUUCAUCUUCUUUUCUAAUCAACAAAGCACAAAUCUACACGGUGAGAGGGUAUCUGGUAGACCCACCACUGGAUCUAGUGAUCUUAUCAUCAUUCAAAGGGUUUUUCUUUCAUUGUUGAUUUUCUCCUUGUUUGCACUGUGAAGUUUAACAUGGUGGAUCUAUCACAGGCUAUGUCUGGGCCUUGCCUGGCCCAUCUAAACCUCCCCUCCUCUUGACCCCCCAGGCAUCCCGGCUCUCUAUCUUCCUCAAAGACACUGAACUCCACACAGAACUGUAGCCUGGCUGAAACUAAUGAUGAACACUGGAUUAAUGACAACCUCAGUAGAUUCAUAUUAUUCAGUAGUUUAGCAUUGUUGGAUUAAUCCUGACAGCAUAUGUCUCAAAUGUGGUAGGUGAAAAUGUGAAAGGUCAGAUUGCUAGCUAACUAGAAUAAAAUAGUAGCGUUGACUUUGGUGCUAUAGAUGUACAGAUUUCUGCUAGACAGUGUUACUGUGACUAUUGGUGAGGCCAGGAUUUUAAGAUACAGUUCUGUGUCAUCUCAGAUACAGGAAGAGAAUACUCAAGUGUAAAUGUUUUUUUGCUGUUGAAAUAAAAUACCCUCAUUAGUCUGCAGAGAGGGAGAUAUAGGCUACCUGCCUCUAACUAGCAUCUGAAGGUGAAGAUGGGGAGCAACCAUGUCUACUCCCAAACACACCGUACUGAAAGAGGUCAGGGCAGAAGCGGCAGACAGACUGGAAAAUAAGACAGAAUACAGUGGCCACUGGCCAUUGAGUAGAUUUCUGGAAAAUAACAAUAAUGGAAACAAAAACACACUUUAUGGUCAGUCCCACGAUUUACAAGAUCAGUUGAACCCUUUUCACCCAGAGGCAUGGUUCUCUUAUCAUCCAUAAGGAAACAGAUAGGGAAGGGCGGCAGGGUAGUGAGGCUGAGGCAGGUCCACAGCUGUGAUAGCUCCACCACAGAGAUAUAUGUUUGUUAUAUUAUGUAAUAAAUUUCUAAUUAAAAACAUGAAUCCUGUGUAUCAGCUCCUCAUUGCUGAGAUCUACUUUGGCCAGAGCUUUAGAAGUGCCAACUGCCAUGUCAGUUGUGACCGGAGUCUUUCCCAAGGAAAAC